GUUGAACGCUAGCUAUAGGCUUAACACAUGCAAGUCGAGGGACCGGCGCACGGUUCAGUAACGCGUAUCCAACCUACCCAUAACUAAGGGAUAACCCAGCGAAAGUUGGACUAAUACCUUAUGGUUAUGGAUGGAGUUGCGUCUGAUUAGCUUGUUGGCGGGGUAACGGCCCACCAAGGCAACGAUCAGGAGGGGUUCUGAGAGGAAGGCACCCUAGAUUGGAAAUGAGACACAGACUAAACUGGUACGGGGGGGAGGAGUAGAGAGUAUUAGUCAAGGGACGCAAGUCUGAACCAGCCAAGUGGCUGGCAGGAUGACGGCCUAGGGGAGGUAAACUGCUUUUAUAUGAGGAUAGGUACCAUAUGAAUAAGGACCGGCUAAUUCCGUGCCAGCAGCCGCGGUAAUAC
Molecule: ribosomal RNA, 407 nt
Filed under: uncultured bacterium
Lineage: Bacteria
Description: partial 16S ribosomal RNA
Rfam family: Bacterial small subunit ribosomal RNA
Source: RNAcentral